RNAcentral lists this ribosomal RNA (253 nucleotides) under uncultured bacterium. RNAcentral's name for it is "partial 16S ribosomal RNA". It matches the Rfam family "Bacterial small subunit ribosomal RNA", at positions 524 to 776 of the family's 1533-position model. The record is from RNAcentral.
UACGAAGGGUCCUAGCGUUGUUCGGAAUUAUUGGGCUUAAAGAGCACGUAGGCGGGAAGUUAAGUGGUUUGUGAAAUCCCCCGGCUCAACCGGGGAACUGCUUGGCAUACUGGCUUCCUUGAGGCAAGUAGGGGUGCAUGGAACUCUAGGUGGAGCGGUGAAAUGCGUAGAUAUCUAGAGGAACGCCUGUGGAGAAAUCGGUGCACUGGGCUUGUUCUGACGCUGAGGUGCGAAAGCGUGGGUAGCGAACGGG